This 918-nucleotide long non-coding RNA is filed under the name Triticum aestivum (bread wheat). RNAcentral describes it as "long non-coding RNA (TAES_LNC015979)". Lineage: Eukaryota; Viridiplantae; Streptophyta; Magnoliopsida; Poales; Poaceae. The record is from RNAcentral.
UCCCCUCCAAGAAUAGCAUUUGAUGUGUGAGUGCAUAUCCUUCUCUUCUUCUUCUUCUUCUCGAUUUGAUGCGUGCGUGCGUGCUGUUGUGUGCAGGCCCGACUCAUCUCUGCUUGUGCACAACAAGGAAGGCCAUGGAGACGCUGCUCCCUAUAUUCAGCGCGUGGACGGACGAUGCAGCGUUGGGGAUGACUCAUGGCUGCCUCCGUUUGUGCAGGUGACUCAUGGCCACCCCCUCUCUCAACCCCCAGAUCUGACUCCCUCCUCCACCCCCUCUCUCAACCUCUAGAUUCAACACAAGUAUUCAUUGUUGUAUUUUUAUUUUUACUAUGUCUCUGAACCAUCUGGAUGAUGAACUAUGUACUGUAAUUUUUAGUUUGUCGCAAGAACGUGAACCUAAUUUUUAGUCUGUCUAAAUCACGUGCAGAUUGGGUACUCUGGAGCACAUGGGAGGAGGAGAAGGAUGGGAGGUGUGUAGAAUUCGGCGCCAAGGGAGACGAUCGAGAUGGUGGAGCAGAAUCCAGAGGACGACGGGAGACCAGAUAGAGGAGAGACAACACCCGGAUAUCGGGCAGUGAAUGCACACAAUGCAAGGAUACUUUAAACAAAUACAAGUAUCAUCCAUAUGAAGGUCAUCGGGCGUUUGGAAGAGAAGAAUGAUGCAUAUAUCAUCUCAGUUCAGGUCGCUGGAGUUGUUUGGUUUUUCUUCUCAUGUGGAUGCUCCAUACUGUAAACUACGCUCUGUACUUGGAGACAAUCACCAAGUCCUUUUUUGUACAAACUAAUCUAAGCUUUUUGUUCUUCUCAAGUAGCUAUUUUAUUUUGCUAAUUCUGUGUAUAGCUGCUAUUAAACAGAAGUCCUUUGAUGUCAGAUGCAAAGUUGAUGAAGUUUUUUUCUAUGUGAGAUGCUCUUGUUUA